UCUUUGAAGCCGAUGUUAAACCAGUUGGUACUGAUGGCAUCUCUGUUGAUGGCAAGGUCAUCCAGGUUGUUUCUAACCGCAACCCCGUCAAUCUCCCCUGGGGGUAAGUCAUUAAUUUCAAUGCUUAACACACUUUUAUGUUGUUUGAUUUAAAAGAACAUUUUUUAAUUUUUAUAUUGUUUGAUUUCAAAUGACUAUAUGGUGAUUCAGGGACUUGGGCAUCGACCUUGUGAUUGAAGGGACAGGAGUGUUUGUAGACAGAGAGGGUGCGGGCAAGCACAUUCAGGCUGGUGCCAAGAAAGUACUUAUUACAGCCCCCGGCAAGGGUGACAUCCCAACCUACGUUGUUGGUGUCAAUGCGGAUGCUUACAAGCCAGAUGAGCCCAUCAUCAGCAAUGCUUCUUGCACAACCAACUGCCUUGCCCCAUUCGUCAAGGUUCUUGACCAGAAGUUUGGUAAAUACCAAAAACACCUUCAGAAAUCUUCACUCUCCCUUUGUUCCGAUAUAAUUCAGCUUCGUAAAACGCAAAAAGUCACCCAAUUGAAUGAUAGAAUUUUUCCCAUGUGCGCAGGCAUUAUCAAGGGAACCAUGACCACCACACACUCGUACACUGGCGACCAAAGGCUACUCGAUGCUAGCCACCGUGACCUCAGGCGUGCAAGAGCAGCUGCACUCAACAUUGUCCCAACAUCAACUGGUGCGGCAAAAGCUGUGGCCCUUGUCCUCCCAGCACUCAAAGGCAAACUAAACGGCAUUGCCCUUCGUGUGCCAACACCAAACGUCUCGGU
RNAcentral lists this long non-coding RNA (789 nucleotides) under Citrus x clementina. RNAcentral's name for it is "Citrus clementina (C. clementina) long non-coding RNA (CCLE_LNC005337)". Lineage: Eukaryota; Viridiplantae; Streptophyta; Magnoliopsida; Sapindales; Rutaceae. The record is from RNAcentral.